Molecule: ribosomal RNA, 305 nt
Filed under: uncultured bacterium
Lineage: Bacteria
Description: bacterial SSU rRNA
Rfam family: Bacterial small subunit ribosomal RNA
Source: RNAcentral
GUUACCUACGGGGGGCAGCAGUGAGGAAUAUUGGUCAAUGGGCGCAAGCCUGAACCAGCCAAGUCGCGUGAGGGAUGACGGUCCUAUGGAUUGUAAACCUCUUUUGUCGGGGAGCAAGGCCCGCCACGUGUGGCGGGAAGGGGAGUACCCGAAGAAAAAGCAUCGGCUAACUCCGUGCCAGCAGCCGCGGGAAUACGGAGGAUGCGAGCGUUAUCCGGAUUUAUUGGGUUUAAAGGGUGCGGAGGGGGAAGAUUAAGUCAGCGGGCAAAUGUCGGGGCGCAACACCGGCCUGCCGUUGAAACUGG